AUGCUAGCUUCGGCAGCACAUAUACUGAAAUUGGAACAAUGCAGAGAAGAAUAGCAUGGCCCCUGCACAAGGAUGACAUGCAAAUCCAUGAAUCAUUCCAUAUUUUU
Molecule: small nuclear RNA, 107 nt
Organism: Cricetulus griseus (Chinese hamster)
Lineage: Eukaryota; Metazoa; Chordata; Mammalia; Rodentia; Cricetidae
Source: Ensembl